RNAcentral lists this long non-coding RNA (681 nucleotides) under Fukomys damarensis (Damara mole-rat). RNAcentral describes it as "lncRNA (ENSFDAG00000026887.1)". The record is from RNAcentral. Lineage: Eukaryota; Metazoa; Chordata; Mammalia; Rodentia; Bathyergidae.
CUCAUCAGCCUCCAAAACACAUUCCACUGCAUAAGCUCUCUUGACUCUGCUUUACAGAUGAACAAAGGCCUGGCUAGACCUGCAAAUGGGGAGCUAAGAUUCCAGCUCUGCACCCGGAGCCUGAACUCCCACCCUCUGUGAUGAAUUCUUCUGCCCAUCUACUGAGCGUCUUUUCUUGGAAAACCCUGAGCGGGGCUUAAGAGCAGAAAAACAAACACCCGUGCAAAGCCCCGUGAAAUUCCCGAGGAAGGAAUUAUCUUUGCCUGAAAGCUCCCACUUGGAACUACGAGGCUGAGGCUCACCUGGCUUCCUGCUGCUUGGCACAGCCCCUGCCCUCCUCCCCACUUCUCCCCGGUACGUGGGGCCACCUUGGAUGUUUAAACAGGAGAAAGGUGCCUGAGAGGGUCAAGGUCAUUCUGGCUGGAGCGGAGACAGAGGAGAGAGUGAAACUGGAAAUGGAGAACUUAGCGGAAGCUCUCAUCAGACCACAGCUCGCGAGACAGGAAGGACUUUGCUGGAGAUGGCUGUGCCGUGGGAAUCGUCCCCACACCUGUUUCCGUAGACGAAUGUGACCUGUCUCGGCAGCGCCUCCCUUACUGCCCUAUUUAAUACUACGCCCUGCCUUGCCUGUCUCCCCCUUGCACCCAACAUUUCUGCACUAUAAAAACUACCACCCAGCAU